RNAcentral lists this ribosomal RNA (484 nucleotides) under uncultured bacterium. RNAcentral's name for it is "partial 16S ribosomal RNA". It matches the Rfam family "Bacterial small subunit ribosomal RNA", at positions 29 to 507 of the family's 1533-position model. The record is from RNAcentral.
AUUGAACGCUGGCGGCAUGCCUUACACAUGCGAGUCGAACGGCAGCACGGGAGCAAUCCUGGUGGCGAGUGGCGAACGGGUGAGUAAUACAUCGGAACGUGCCCAGUAGUGGGGGAUAACCCGGCGAAAGCCGGACUAAUACCGCAUACGACCUACGGGUGAAAGCGGGGGAUCGCAAGACCUCGCGCUAUCGGAGCGGCCGAUGUCAGAUUAGCUAGUUGGUGGGGUAAAGGCCUACCAAGGCGACGAUCUGUAGCUGGUCUGAGAGGACGACCAGCCACACUGGGACUGAGACACGGCCCAGACUCCUACGGGAGGCAGCAGUGGGGAAUUUUGGACAAUGGGCGCAAGCCUGAUCCAGCCAUGCCGCGUGCGGGAAGAAGGCCUUCGGGUUGUAAACCGCUUUUGUCAGGGAAGAAACGCUCCGGGCUAAUACCACGGAGUAAUGACGGUACCUGAAGAAUAAGCACCGGCUAACUACGUG